Molecule: unclassified non-coding RNA, 262 nt
Filed under: Hevea brasiliensis (rubber tree)
Lineage: Eukaryota; Viridiplantae; Streptophyta; Magnoliopsida; Malpighiales; Euphorbiaceae
Source: RNAcentral
UUCGGUUUUAUCGGUUCGGUUCAGAACCGAACCAUUUGCACACCCUAGGAUCAAUCAAUCAAAAUGUGGAAUACAAACCCCGGAUCUUUAAGUCCUACACUUUGUGGUUGCCGUGGGUCUGUUCUUGAUCUCUCUAUUACCAAUGAUAAUAGAUCUGUUAUUGCAGCCAGUAGCUCAAACAACUUGCAUGUAGGGGAUGCCAAUUCAGGUCUUGUCCGUCACACUCUCACAGGCCGUGUUGACAAAGUGUGUGCUGUGGAUG